Long non-coding RNA from Mus musculus (house mouse), 1795 nucleotides. RefSeq annotates it as predicted gene, 31091. The record is from RefSeq and is a predicted model, not a curated record. NCBI's taxonomy places the organism in Eukaryota, Metazoa, Chordata, Mammalia, Rodentia, Muridae. The transcript is spliced from 3 exons.
CAAAAGUGAUGUCAUUAGUUUGUCCCAUCACUGGUGUGAGGGGGUGGGGGUGUUGGCUCAUAAGACCACACCCCUCCCUGAAGAACUACAGGCAUCUCAUGGGUACUGGGAGAGGGGGAGGCAAAUUCCUCAACUGAGUAGUGACUGAUAAGUUACCCUUGCUCAAGUAAAUAACUCCCCACCCAUGCUGAUACAGGCAGUCCUAAGUAAUGCAGUGGGACAGAAGGACUUACAGGACAGGAAAAUAGACCACGGACUUGUUCAGAAGACAAGAGGUGUCUUCAGAGAUCAACCUCCUACAUCCAACUCUUUCACAUUGGCAGCCUACCUGCUCCCUGCCCCUAUGUCUGCCCUGGUUCCAUGGCUUGGAAGGGUUGCAUUGCCAACAACACAAAAUAAAUAGUAUUCUGUACCCUCCAGUUCACCACAAGUCUACCUCUGCCCACCUGGUGACUACCCUCCUUCCAUAUCUGGCCUUCUCAUUCUCCAAGGAGAAUCACCUACACAUACAGGUUCCAGGAUCUCAUGUUUACUCUCAUGUACUCUAAUCCUCAUGCAGGACCCUCAACAAAUCUGAUGGCCAGCAUGGUCAACAGGGCUGAUUGGCCAUGGCAAUCUCAAGGAAGUCAGAGUUCUCUGUCUCCUCUCUCAAUCUCUUAUUUGCUAUAGUUUUUAGGUUAUGAUAGAAGCACACAAGUUAUGCUAGAAUGUAUUUAUUUUGGACUCUAAAUGGGGCCUAGUAUCUAUCUGUGGAACUAAAAGAGAUAUUCACCCCAACUCAAAAACAUGCUCAGCAUAUAGCUAUCAGGGGUCUACAUUCUUCACCCCCAAAAUUCAUAUUUCUAAUCCUAUCUGAGUAAUAUCUCAAAAUACCCUUCCUCCUCUGUAACAGAACAAAAUGAACUCAACUCAUGUCUCAGUCAUGCCCACUUCUAGAGACAUGAAAUGUUGCUGCCCAGUGAAUGAUUCAAUGAGUUAAAGGUGUGAGAGAUGCAGAAUUGAAGUGUCCUCCCUAUGAUGGGAACUUAAAGAGUGUGAGUAAACAAAACCCACCCAAAGCUCCCCUGGGGGAUCCCUUCCCUUCCAGUACCUAAGGGAGUCUGAGAAGGCCUCUAUACCAUACUUGGAGAUGCAGUAACCACCACUACCACCAAGUGACACUCUGCCCAAGAUGCUGGAGACGUUGACCACACGGCCCCUCGCCUUCCUCACUAAGGGCAGCAUGCUCAGAGUCACCUCGAUCAAGCCCAACAGGUUCACAUCCAGUACACUUGCAAAGUCCUGUUUUUUCAUCCACUCGUUGGGACCCGAGGGGACGGAGAUGCCAGCGUUGUUGACCAGGCCCCAGAGUCCUGGGGACAGUGGAAGGAGAGAGUCACACAACACAGGCUUAAUUAUGGAUGAAAUGCACAUUCAACAAGGCUAUGGCCAAGGCUACGAGAUGCUCUCCCAACCCGAUGGUAAAGACAUGUAGCUGAAGACCAUACUAUCUGAUGUCAUCAAACUAGAAGGCAAGUUGGUGCCCAACUAUGCGGGGCAAUGGGCUAUGCACAGACAGCCUGGUCUCCAGUUGAGUUGAGGUCUUGACCCCCCCCCCCCCCCGUGGGACUCAGUGGGUGGUAAUUUCAACCUACAUGGGACAGAAGGCUUUCGAUCAAGUCUCCUGGACUCCUGGCUCCUGUAGAAGUUACCCCCCCGCCCAGCCCUCACAGGAGAGACAUGUGGUUAGCAGUCACGUAGACAAUGUCCCAAGCUUCUGGUAUUCUGGCUAGACGCCUCCCCACAGUUACCUAGC